UGAACAUGGGUCAGUCGGUCCUGAGA
RNAcentral lists this non-coding RNA (26 nucleotides) under Homo sapiens (human). Lineage: Eukaryota; Metazoa; Chordata; Mammalia; Primates; Hominidae. The record is from RNAcentral. RNAcentral also lists the same sequence under 5 other names.